UUAAGUGACUAAGCGUACAAGGUGGAUGCCUUGGCAAUCAGAGGCGAAGAAGGACGUGCUAAUCUGCGAAAAGCUUGGAUGAGUCGAUAAGAGGCGUUUAAUCCAAGAUAUCCGAAUGGGGAAACCCAGUAGAUGAAGAAUCUACUAUCAACAAGUGAAUUCAUAGCUUGUUGAGGCAAACCGGGAGAACUGAAACAUCUAAGUACCCCGAGGAAAAGAAAUCAACCGAGAUUUCGUCAGUAGCGGCGAGCGAAAGCGAAAGAGCCAGUAAGUGAUAGCAAUAUAGUUAGGAGAAUGUGUUGGGAAGCACAAUCAAAGAGGGUGAUAAUCCCGUAUCUAAAAACCAUAUUGUGGUACUAAGCUAACGAGAAGUAGGGCGGGACACGUGAUAUCCUGUUUGAAGAAGGGGGGACCAUCCUCCAAGGCUAAAUACUCCUGAUUGACCGAUAGUGAACCAGUACUGUGAAGGAAAGGCGAAAAGAACCCCGGUGAGGGGAGUGAAAUAGAACCUGAAACCUUGUACGUACAAGCAGUGGGAGCCCCAUCACUUAAUCCGAUUGGAAGGUGAUGAAAAGCAACCGCACUUAAACAAUGGUAAGAGGAGCGAAGCGAGUCAAACCACCCAAAAGAAGCAGUGGGAUUAAGUGAUGGGGUGACUGCGUACCUUUUGUAUAAUGGGUCAGCGACUUAUAUUUUGUAGCGAGGUUAACCGAAUAGGGGAGCCGAAGGGAAACCGAGUCUUAACUGGGCGUUGAGUUGCAGGGUAUAGACCCGAAACCCGGUGAUCUAGCCAUGGGCAGGUUGAAGGUUGGGUAACACUAACUGGAGGACCGAACCGACUAAUGUUGAAAAAUUAGCGGAUGACUUGUGGCUGGGGGUGAAAGGCCAAUCAAACCGGGAGAUAGCUGGUUCUCCCCGAAAUCUAUUUAGGUAGAGCCUUGAGGUGACACCUUUGGGGGUAGAGCACUGUUUCGGCUAGGGGUCCAUCCCGGAUUACCAACCCGAUGCAAACUACGAAUACCAAAGAGUGAUACUCAGGAGACACACGGCGGGUGCUAACGUCCGUCGUGGAGAGGGAAACAACCCAGACCGCCAGCUAAGGUCCCCAAGUCUAUAUUAAGUGGGAAACGAAGUGGGAAGGCUUAGACAGCUAGGAUGUUGGCUUAGAAGCAGCCAUCAUUUAAAGAAAGCGUAAUAGCUCACUAGUCGAGUCGGUCUGCGCGGAAGAUGUAACGGGGCUGAAAUAUAGCACCGAAGCUGCGGCAUCAGGCGUAUCACUAAUACGCCUGUUGGGUAGGGGAGCGUUGUGUAAGCGGAUGAAGGUUCAUCGAGAGGUGGGCUGGACGUAUCACAAGUGCGAAUGCUGACAUAAGUAACGAUAAAACGGGUGAAAAACCCGUUCGCCGGAAGACCAAGGGUUCCUGUCCAACGUUAAUCGGGGCAGGGUAAGUCGGCUCCUAAGGCGAGGCUGAAAAGCGUAGUCGAUGGGAAACAGGUUAAUAUUCCUGUACUUGGUAAAGCUGCGAUGUGGGGACGGAGUAGGUUAGGUUAUCGCACUGUUGGAUAUGUGCGUUUAAGUUGGUAGGUGGGAAGUUUAGGCAAAUCCGGACUUCCUUAACACAGAGAGAUGAUGACGAGGCUCUACGGAGCUGAAGUAACUGAUACCACACUUCCAGGAAAAGCCACUAAGCGAAAGGCUUUACUAAACCGUACUGAAAACCGACACAGGUGGUCAGGUAGAGAAUACUCAGGCGCUUGAGAGAACUCGGGUGAAGGAACUAGGCAAAAUAGCACCGUAACUUCGGGAGAAGGUGCGCCGGCGUAGAUUGUAAGGGCUAGCCCCUGAAGGUUGAACCGGUCGAAGUGACCAGCUGGCUGCAACUGUUUAUUAAAAACACAGCACUCUGCAAACACGAAAGUGGAGGUAUAGGGUGUGAUGCCUGCCCGGUGCUGGAAGGUUAAUUGAUGGUGUCAUCGCAAGAGAAGCACCUGAUCGAAGCCCCAGUAAACGGCGGCCGUAACUAUAACGGUCCUAAGGUAGCGAAAUUCCUUGUCGGGUAAGUUCCGACCUGCACGAAUGGCAUAAUGAUGGCCAGGCUGUCUCCACCCGAGACUCAGUGAAAUUGAAAUCGCCGUGAAGAUGCGGUGUACCCGCGGCUAGACGGAAAGACCCCGUGAACCUUUACUAUAGCUUGACACUGAACAUUGAAUUUUGAUGUGUAGGAUAGGUGGGAGACUAAGAAGAUGAUACGCCAGUAUUGUUGGAGUCGACCUUGAAAUACCACCCUUUAACGUUUGAUGUUCUAACGAAGAUUGCGGAACGUGGUCUCGGACAGUGUCUGGUGGGUAGUUUGACUGGGGCGGUCUCCUCCCAAAGCGUAACGGAGGAGCACGAAGGUUUGCUAAUCACGGUCGGACAUCGUGAGGUUAGUGCAAUGGUAUAAGCAAGCUUAACUGCGAGACAGACAAGUCGAGCAGGUACGAAAGUAGGUCAUAGUGAUCCGGUGGUUCUGAAUGGAAGGGCCAUCGCUCAACGGAUAAAAGGUACUCCGGGGAUAACAGGCUGAUACCGCCCAAGAGUUCAUAUCGACGGCGGUGUUUGGCACCUCGAUGUCGGCUCAUCACAUCCUGGGGCUGAAGUAGGUCCCAAGGGUAUGGCUGUUCGCCAUUUAAAGUGGUACGCGAGCUGGGUUUAGAACGUCGUGAGACAGUUCGGUCCCUAUCUGCCGUGGGCGUAGGAGAAUUGGUUGGGGCUGCUCCUAGUACGAGAGGACCGGAGUGGACGCACCACUGGUGUUCCGGUUGUGUCGCCAGACGCAUUGCCGGGUAGCUAAGUGCGGAAGAGAUAAGUGCUGAAAGCAUCUAAGCACGAAACUUGCCAAGAGAUGAGUUCUCCCAAUCUAAGAGAUAGUAAGGGUUGUUGUAGACUACGACGUAGAUAGGUCAGGUGUGUAAGUGUAGUGAUACAUUGAGCUAACAGAUACUAAUUGCCCGAGAGGCUUAACUAU
Molecule: ribosomal RNA, 3008 nt
Filed under: Haemophilus aegyptius
Lineage: Bacteria; Pseudomonadati; Pseudomonadota; Gammaproteobacteria; Pasteurellales; Pasteurellaceae
Description: bacterial LSU rRNA
Rfam family: Bacterial large subunit ribosomal RNA
Source: RNAcentral